This is an RNA transcript of Zalophus californianus (California sea lion), 2191 nucleotides long. It is a transcript of the gene named ras-related protein Rab-18-like, with no coding region annotated. NCBI's taxonomy places the organism in Eukaryota, Metazoa, Chordata, Mammalia, Carnivora, Otariidae. The transcript has 3 exons. The record is from RefSeq and is a predicted model, not a curated record.
AAAAAAAAAAAAAAGACCCUGCGAUCCACGGCGCCUGCCCUCUUAGGUUAAGGUUUGAGGAACGUGAUGGGACGUAAGAAAGGGCUUUGGAUCCCGAUAGGCUCGGUGCCAACCUUAUGUUCUGCCAUUCGAGUUCUGGCAAUCUUUACAGCACCCUAAAGAGUAGAUGAAAGAAUCUGAGAUGCUGGAUCAGUGUUGAGCAGUGCUUGGGCCGCGAUUCUUCGGCAGCUUUAGCCGCCUUGAGCCAAGAAAGUCCGAGAGUAACCAAAGGUGUUUGCCAAGAGAAUGACACACGUUCCAAAACCGCUAUACGGUGUUUACGAAUGAGGAAAUGGAGGUUCACGAUAACUAAUUCGCCCAAGGUCCCACAGAGGGAAGUGCAAAAACCUGUGAUGGUGUACAGUGUGCCUUUGAGGAACUUGUUGAAAAGAUCAUUCAGACGCCUGGACUGUGGGAAAGUGAGAACCAGAAUAAAGGAGUCAAACUGACACACAGGGAAGAAGGCCCUGGAGGAAGAGCCUGUGGUGGUUACUGUUCUGUGUUAUAAACUCUGGGAAACUCCAUCUCUUGCAUAUUUGAUCACAUAGUGACAUCUUUCUGUAUAUUAACUUUUAACUGCUAUUUUAGGGACCUUGCAGAACAUUAAGAGGAUUAUACAUCAUGACCAAGUGGGAUUUAUCCCAGCAAUGCAAGUGGUUCAACAUGGGAAAAUCAGUCAAUGUAAUACACCACACUAAUAAAGCAAAGGAUAAAAAGCACAUGAUCAUCUCAAUAGAUGCAGAAAAGGCAUUUGACAAGAUCUAAUACCCAUUUAUGAUAAAAAAAAAAAACUCAAGAAACAAGGAAUAGAAAUGAACUUCCUCAAAAUGAUAGGGGCAUUUAUGAAAACUGCAGAGCUAACAUUAUACUCAAUAGUGAAAGACUAAAAGAGUUCCCUCUAAAGUCGGGAACAAGAUAAAGGUGCCCAUUUUCACCAAUGGCAUUCAACACUGAAGUAGAAGUGCUAGCCAGAGCAAUGAGAUAAGAAAUAGAAAUAAAAGGAAUUCAAACUGGAAAUGAAGAAGGUAACUAUUCCUUUUUACAUGAUCACAUGAUUCUAUAUCUGAAAAUUCCAAAUUAUCCACAAUAAAACUAAUAGAGUUAAUAAACAGAUUGAGCAAAGCUGCAAGAUACAAGAUGAACACACAAAAAUCAGUUGUGUUUCUAUUUGUGUGCAAUCAACAAUCCAAAAAUGAAAUGAAGAAAGCUAUUCCAUUUAAAUAGUGUCUAAAAUAAUAAAAUAUUUAGAAAUAAAUUUAAACAAGGAAGUGAAAGACUAAAAAUACAAAAAUUUGGUAAAAAGAAGACCUAAAUUAAUGGAAAGAAAUCCUUAGUUCAUGGGGAGGAGGACAGUAUUUUUAAAAUGUCAAUCACACCUAAAACACACCUAAAAACAUUUAGGUGUGAUUGACAUUUAUAGAUUCAACACAAUCUUACAAAAUUCCAAUUGGCCUUUUUCCUUAAGAAAUGGAAAACCCAACCCUCAAAUUCAUAUGGAAUUGCAAGGCUCCCUGGAUAAUCCAAACUAAUCAUGAAAAAGAAGAAAAGAACUGGAGGACUGUGAUUUCCACAACAAAGCUACAGCGGUCGAAACAGUGUGGUACUGGCAAAUCAACAGACUGGUAGGCUAAUGGAAUAGAAUUGAGAGUCCAGAAAUAAACCCAUACAUCUACAGCCAAUUGAUUUUUGACAAGGAUGCCAAAUCCAACCAACUUGGAAAGAACAGUCUCUUCAACACAUGGUACUUGGACAACUGGAUUUUCAUAUGUGCAAGAAUGAAUUCCAUAUGUGAGCAGAAUGACCUCACACCAUAUACAAAAAUGAACUAAAAGCUGCUCAACAACUAAAAUCUAAGAGCUAAAACCAUGAAACUCUUAGAAGGAAACACAGGGAAAAUGUGCAUGACCUUGGACUUGUCAAUGCAUUCAUAGAUGUAACACCAAAAGCAUAAGUAGCAGAAAGAAAAUGAUAAAAGAUAAAUUGGAUUUCAUCAAAAUUAAAAACUCCUGUGCAUUAAAGCCAUUAUCAAAAAAGUGAAGAGACAGUACAUGGAAGUGAGAGGAAAUAUUUACAAAUCAUGUAUCUUUUUUUUUUUUUUUUGAGAAAGAGAUAGCAAGAGCGUGAGCAGGGGAGAGGGGCAGAGGGGGGGUCG